AUUGUGUGCGGAGGGUGCUGCAAGCGGUUUCAUUGGCUUUAACGAGGAUCAAUUGGAGGGCAAGUCUGGUGCCAGAAGCCGCGGUAAUUCCAGCUCCAAUAGCGUAUAUUGAAGUUUUUGCGGUUAAAAAGCUCGUAGUCGAAUCUGUGUCCCGCGCCUUCGGUUCAUCGUCCGCGUUGUUAACUGGUGUGCCGCGGGACGUCCUGCCGGUGGGCUUAGCUCGCAAGGGCAACCCAACUCAAUCCCGCCGCGGUGCUCUUUAUUAAGUGUCGAGGUGGACCAGCACGUUCACUUUGAACAAAUUAGAGUGCUUAAAGCAGGCUACAACUUCGCUUGAAUACUGUGUGCAUGGAAUAAUGGAAUAGGACCUCGGAUCUAUUUUGUUGGUUUUCGGAACCCCGAGGUAAUGAUUAAUAGGAACGGAUGGGGGCAUUCGUAUUGCGACGUUAGAGGUGAAAUUCUUGGAUCGUCGCAAGACGGACAGAAGCGAAAGCAUUUGCCAAAAACGCUUUCAUUGAUCAAGAACGAAAGUUAGAGGUUCGAAGGCGAUCAGAUACCGCCCUAGUUCUAACCAUAAACGAUGCCAGCUAGCGAUCCGCCGACGUUCCUCCGAUGACUCGGCGGGCAGCUUCCGGGAAACCAAAGCUUUUGGGUUCCGGGGGAAGUAUGGUUGCAAAGCUGAAACUUAAAGGAAUUGACGGAAGGGCACCACCAGGAGUGGAGCCUGCGGCUUAAUUUGACUCAACACGGGAAACCUCACCAGGCCCGGACACCGGAAGGAUUGACAGAUUGAGAGCUCUUUCUUGAUUCGGUGGGUGGUGGUGCAUGGCCGUUCUUAGUUGGUGGAGCGAUUUGUCUGGUUAAUUCCGAUAAGGAACGAGACUCUGGCUUACUAACUAGGCGUUUUCAGACAUCCUAAAGGCCCGCCGAUGGGGUUUCGGGCUUUAUCGUGCGCGGUUUUUACAUCGAUGACAUAAGUGCGGAGUUUAGCCGCUAGACGCCGCAUUUAUGUCAUCAAUGACAUCGUAAUGACAUUCAUUCACCUAUUUGAUUCAAUCUGAGCCAAGAGGAAUCUUACUUGAAUUGAAGGGGUUAUAUUUUUAGGAGUGAUUAAUUUCCAUCUUGAAAACAUAUGCAAAUCUUCCAAGGAAAGGAAGAAA
Molecule: ribosomal RNA, 1160 nt
Filed under: Leptinotarsa decemlineata (Colorado potato beetle)
Lineage: Eukaryota; Metazoa; Arthropoda; Insecta; Coleoptera; Chrysomelidae
Description: bacterial SSU rRNA
Rfam family: Eukaryotic small subunit ribosomal RNA
Source: RNAcentral